AUUGAACGCUGGCGGCAUGCUUUACACAUGCAAGUCGAACGGUAACAGGCCGCAAGGUGCUGACGAGUGGCGAACGGGUGAGUAAUGCAUCGGAACGUGCCCAGUCGUGGGGGAUAACUACUCGAAAGAGUAGCUAAUACCGCAUACGAUCUAUGGAUGAAAGCGGGGGACCGUAAGGCCUCGCGCGAUUGGAGCGGCCGAUGUCAGAUUAGGUAGUUGGUGGGGUAAAGGCUCACCAAGCCAAAGAUCUGUAGCUGGUCUGAGAGGACAACCAGCCACAUUGGGACUGAGACACGGCCCAGACUCCUACGGGAGGCAGCAGUGGGGAAUGUUGGACAAUGGGCGCAAGCCUGAUCCAGCAAGGCCGCGUGCAGGAAGAAGGCCUUCGGGUUGUAAACUGCUUUUGUACGGAACGAAACGGCUCUGGUUAAUACCCGGGGCUAAUGACGGUACCGGAAGAAUAAGCACCGGCUAACUACGUG
This 482-nucleotide ribosomal RNA is filed under the name uncultured bacterium. RNAcentral's name for it is "partial 16S ribosomal RNA". It matches the Rfam family "Bacterial small subunit ribosomal RNA", at positions 30 to 507 of the family's 1533-position model. The record is from RNAcentral.